AGAGUUUGAUCCUGGCUCAGAACGAACGCUGGCGGCAGGCUUAACACAUGCAAGUCGAACGAGAAGCUAGGGCUUGCCCUAGUGGAAAGUGGCAGACGGGUGAGUAACGCGUGGGAAUUUACCUAAAGGUACGGAAUAACGCAUGGAAACGUGUGCUAAUACCGUAUACGCCCUUCGGGGGAAAGAUUUAUCGCCUUUAGAUGAGCCCGCGUCGGAUUAGUUUGUUGGUGAGGUAAUGGCUCACCAAGACUACGAUCCGUAGCUGGUCUGAGAGGAUGAUCAGCCACACUGGGACUGAGACACGGCCCAGACUCCUACGGGAGGCAGCAGUGGGGAAUAUUGCACAAUGGGCGCAAGCCUGAUGCAGCCAUGCCGCGUGAGUGAUGAAGGCCUUAGGGUUGUAAAGCUCUUUCACCGGUGAAGAUAAUGACGGUAGCCGGAGAAGAAGCCCCGCUAACU
This 459-nucleotide ribosomal RNA is filed under the name uncultured bacterium. RNAcentral describes it as "bacterial SSU rRNA". It matches the Rfam family "Bacterial small subunit ribosomal RNA", at positions 8 to 502 of the family's 1533-position model. The record is from RNAcentral.